CAGAUUUCUUCGGAAUGAAGUUUUAGUGACUGAGUGGCGGACGGGUGAGUAACGCGUGGGUAACCUGCCUCACACAGGGGGAUAACAGUUGGAAACGGCUGCUAAUACCGCAUAAGCGCACAGUACCGCAUGGUACAGUGUGAAAAACCCCGGUGGUGUGAGAUGGACCCGCGUCUGAUUAGCUAGUUGGCAGGGCAACGGCCUACCAAGGCGACGAUCAGUAGCCGACCUGAGAGGGUGACCGGCCACAUUGGGACUGAGACACGGCCCAAACUCCUACGGGAGGCAGCAGUGGGGAAUAUUGCACAAUGGGGGAAACCCUGAUGCAGCGACGCCGCGUGAGCGAAGAAGUAUUUCGGUAUGUAAAGCUCUAUCAGCAGGGAAGAAGAAAUGACGGUACCUGACUAAGAAGCACCGGCUAAAUACGUGCCAGCAGCCGCGGUAAUACGUAUGGUGCAAGCGUUAUCCGGAUUUACUGGGUGUAAAGGGAGCGCAGGCGGAAGGCUAAGUCUGAUGUGAAAGCCCGGGGCUCAACCCCGGUACUGCAUUGGAACUGGUCAUCUAGAGUGUCGGAGGGGUAAGUGGAAUUCCUAGUGUAGCGGUGAAAUGCGUAGAUA
This 617-nucleotide ribosomal RNA is filed under the name uncultured Lachnospiraceae bacterium. RNAcentral's name for it is "bacterial SSU rRNA". It matches the Rfam family "Bacterial small subunit ribosomal RNA", at positions 69 to 696 of the family's 1533-position model. Lineage: Bacteria; Bacillati; Bacillota; Clostridia; Lachnospirales; Lachnospiraceae. The record is from RNAcentral.